Molecule: ribosomal RNA, 497 nt
Filed under: uncultured bacterium
Lineage: Bacteria
Description: partial 16S ribosomal RNA
Rfam family: Bacterial small subunit ribosomal RNA
Source: RNAcentral
GACGAACGCUGGCGGCGUGCCUAAUACAUGCAAGUAGAACGCUGAAGAGAGGAGCUUGCUCUUCUUGGAUGAGUUGCGAACGGGUGAGUAACGCGUAGGUAACCUGACUUGUAGCGGGGGAUAACUAUUGGAAACGAUAGCUAAUACCGAAUAACAAUGGAUGACACAUGUCAUUUAUUUGAAAGGGGCAAUUGUUUCACUACAAGAUGGACCUGCGUUGUAUUAGCUAGUAGGUGAGGUAAUGGCUCACCUAGACGACGAUACAUAGCCGACCUGAGAGGGUGAUCGGCCACGCUGGUACUGAGACACGGCCCAGACUCCUACGAGAGGCAGCAGUAGGGAAUCUUCGGCGAUGGCAGCAACCGGGACCGAGCAACGCCGCGUGAGUGAAGGAUGUAUUCGGAUCGUGUAGCUCUGUUGUAAGUCAGGAUCGGGUGUGAGUGUGGAAAGUGCACACUGUGACGGUAGCGUACCAGAAAGGUACGGCUAACUACGUG